GAUGAACGCUGGCGGCGUGCCUAAUACAUGCAAGUCGAGCGAACAGAUGAGGAGCUUGCUCCUCUGACGUUAGCGGCGGACGGGUGAGUAACACGUGGAUAACCUACCUAUAAGACUGGGAUAACUUCGGGAAACCGGAGCUAAUACCGGAUAAUAUAUUGAACCGCAUGGUUCAAUAGUGAAAGACGGUUUUGCUGUCACUUAUAGAUGGAUCCGCGCCGCAUUAGCUAGUUGGUAAGGUAACGGCUUACCAAGGCAACGAUGCGUAGCCGACCUGAGAGGGUGAUCGGCCACACUGGAACUGAGACACGGUCCAGACUCCUACGGAGGCAGCAGUAGGGAAUCUUCCGCAAUGGGCGAAAGCCUGACGGAGCAACGCCGCGUGAGUGAUGAAGGUCUUCGGAUCGUAAAACUCUGUUAUUAGGGAAGAACAAAUGUGUAAGUAACUAUGCACGUCUUGACGGUACCUAAUCAGAAAGCCACGGCUAACUACGUG
RNAcentral lists this ribosomal RNA (496 nucleotides) under uncultured bacterium. Its description in RNAcentral is "partial 16S ribosomal RNA". It matches the Rfam family "Bacterial small subunit ribosomal RNA", at positions 28 to 507 of the family's 1533-position model. The record is from RNAcentral.